Molecule: ribosomal RNA, 460 nt
Filed under: uncultured bacterium
Lineage: Bacteria
Description: partial 16S ribosomal RNA
Rfam family: Bacterial small subunit ribosomal RNA
Source: RNAcentral
CCUACGGGAGUCUGCAGUGAGGAAUAUUGGUCAAUGGACGAGAGUCUGAACCAGCCAAGUCGCGUGAAGGAUGACUGCCCUAUGGGUUGUAAACUUCUUUUAUAAAGGAAUAAAACGAGGCACGUGUGCCUUUUUGCAUGUACUUUAUGAAUAAGGAUCGGCUAACUCCGUGCCAGCAGCCGCGGUAAUACGGAGGAUCCGAGCGUUAUCCGGAUUUAUUGGGUUUAAAGGGAGCGUAGGUGGGGUGUUAAGUCAGUUGUGAAAGUUUGCGGCUCAACCGUAAAAUUGCAAUUGAUACUGGCAGUCUUGAGUGCAGUUGAGGUAGGCGGAAUUCGUGGUGUAGCGGUGAAAUGCUUAGAUAUCACGAAGAACCCCGAUUGCGAAGGCAGCUUACUAAGCUGUGACUGACAUUGAUGCUCGAAAGUGUGGGUAGCAAACAGGAUUAGAUACCCGUGUAGUC